Molecule: ribosomal RNA, 406 nt
Filed under: uncultured bacterium
Lineage: Bacteria
Description: partial 16S ribosomal RNA
Rfam family: Bacterial small subunit ribosomal RNA
Source: RNAcentral
AUUGAACGCUGGCGGCAGGCCUAACACAUGCAAGUCGAACGAGUGGCGGACGGGUGAGUAAUGUCUGGGAAACUGCCUGAUGGAGGGGGAUAACUACUGGAAACGGUAGCUAAUACCGCAUACCAUCGGAUGUGCCCAGAUGGGAUUAGCUAGUAGGUGGGGUAAAGGCUCACCUAGGCGACGAUCCCUAGCGGGUCUGAGCGGAUGACCGGCAACACGGGAACUGAGACAGGGCCCAGACGCCGACGGGAGGCAGCAGUGGGGAAUAUUGCACAAUGGGGGCAAGCCGGAUGCAGCCAUGCCGCGUGUAUGAAGAAGGCCUUCGGGUUGUAAAGUACUUUCAGCGGGGAGGCGUUACCCGCAGAAGAAGCACCGGCUAACUCCGUGCCAGCAGCCGCGGUAAUAC